Molecule: long non-coding RNA, 706 nt
Filed under: Solanum tuberosum (potato)
Lineage: Eukaryota; Viridiplantae; Streptophyta; Magnoliopsida; Solanales; Solanaceae
Description: long non-coding RNA (STUB_LNC010388)
Source: RNAcentral
UUUGCGACCUCUUCCUGAUAUUCAAAUAAAGGUAUUAUCAAAAUUGAAAGAAGGACCAUAAUAUUUUUUCCUCCAACAUUCCCUCGAUGAAGCAAUAUAUUUCUCAAAAUCAAAACUCAAUAUUAUUUUGUAACUGAACCCCAAAAGUAGAAUAUGAAUGAUGAAUGCAUGACGAUGAAAAGCUUGUAGAAGCUGUGAAUAUAGAACUAAUAAUAUAAUUUUUACUUUGAGUUGAUAGAUCAUUUGACUAUGUGAUUGAAUAGUAUAAAUUUUUCUGUCCAAAUUUAUAGAGUCAUAUAACGAAUAUGAAAAGGUCAUGAUAUUACUUCCAUGGAAGAUGAGAGCAAUUAAACAUUUUAAUUGAACUAAUUAUAGGUUAUAACUAAGAAAUUGAAACUUUCAAUAAAUGUGGGAAUAUGGAACAACUUUCUACAAUCAAAUUCAAUGUAUAUUGUUUAGAAGUCUAUUAAUUUAAUUUUAAAAGCUAAAGAAAAACAUAUUUUUAUUUCCAACUUUUGAUGAGUAUGAUUAAUAUAUAUAUUAAAUGUAAUUCUCUUUUAAACGUUUCAACUUUUAAAUUAAGAGUAUAUAAUAAUUUAGAAAUUUAUUUACUAAUAUUUAAUUAAUUAGAUUAUGAUUUAAUGUAAGGGAAAAAUAGUAAUCUAACUUUUGCCUAAAAUUCUUCCCACUUAUAGUAUAAUAUGAU